RNAcentral lists this ribosomal RNA (253 nucleotides) under uncultured bacterium. Its description in RNAcentral is "partial 16S ribosomal RNA". It matches the Rfam family "Bacterial small subunit ribosomal RNA", at positions 524 to 776 of the family's 1533-position model. The record is from RNAcentral.
UACGAAGGGGGCUAGCGUUGCUCGGAAUCACUGGGCGUAAAGCGCACGUAGGCGGAUCUUUAAGUCAGGGGUGAAAUCCUGGAGCUCAACUCCAGAACUGCCUUUGAUACUGAGGAUCUCGAGUCCGGAAGAGGUGAGUGGAACUCCGAGUGUAGAGGUGAAAUUCGUAGAUAUUCGGAAGAACACCAGUGGCGAAGGCGGCUCACUGGUCCUGUACUGACGCUGAGGUGCGAAAGCGUGGGGAGCAAACAGG